CCUGGUGGUUAUGGCGUCGUCGAACCACCCGAUCCCAUCCCGAACUCGGCCGUGAAAGGCGACCGCGCCGAUGGUACUGCGUCUUAAGGCGUGGAAGAGUAGGUCGCCGCCAGGU
Molecule: ribosomal RNA, 115 nt
Filed under: Rhodothalassium salexigens
Lineage: Bacteria; Pseudomonadati; Pseudomonadota; Alphaproteobacteria; Rhodothalassiales; Rhodothalassiaceae
Also listed under: 1 other name
Source: RNAcentral